Gorilla gorilla gorilla (western lowland gorilla) is the source of this 2057-nucleotide RNA transcript. It is a transcript of the gene named family with sequence similarity 110 member D, with no coding region annotated. The record is from RefSeq and is a predicted model, not a curated record. Lineage: Eukaryota; Metazoa; Chordata; Mammalia; Primates; Hominidae. The transcript has 3 exons.
UGAGGUUUGGCUGCCACCAAAGUUACUUCUAGUCCUUGCUGUCCACUCCUGCCCUCAGUCUGGACCUGCCCAAGGACCCCUGCAAUUAGGCCUCCCAUGCAGAGGUCUGUGAGAGCCCAAGCCAAUUGCUCUAGGCCCCGUGGCUGGCUACUUAUGGGGCACUGUCCUGACCAGCUCUGCUAAGAUGCUCCUGGCCCCUCCCUCCACCCCGUCCAGAGGACGGACCCCCAGCGCCGUGGAGAGGCUGGAAGCCGACAAAGCCAAGUAUGUCAAGACGCACCAGGUGAUAGCUAGGCGACAGGAGCCAGCCCUGCGUGGGAGUCCUGGGCCGCUCACGCCGCACCCCUGCAACGAGCUGGGGCCCCCUGCAUCGCCCAGGACGCCCAGGCCGGUCCGCCGGGGAAGCGGCAGGCGGCUGCCGAGGCCUGAUUCCCUCAUCUUCUACCGCCAGAAGCGGGACUGCAAGGCUUCGGUGAACAAAGAGAACGCCAAGGGCCAGGGUCUGGUGCGGCGCCUCUUUCUGGGUGCCCCGCGAGACGCUGCCCCGAGCAGCCCGGCCUCCACAGAGCGACCUGCGGCUUCAGGGGGUUGGGCUGCGCCCCAGGAUGCCCCGGAAGCGGCGGGAAAGCGGGCGCUGUGUCCCACGUGCUCGCUGCCCCUGUCGGAGAAGGAGCGCUUCUUCAACUACUGCGGCCUGGAGCGCGCGCUGGUGGAGGUGUUGGGCGCAGAGCGCUUCUCCCCGCAGAGCUGGGGGGCCGACGCCAGCCCGCAGGCCGGAACUUCGCCGCCGCCCGGCUCCGGGGACGCCAGCGACUGGACAUCCAGCGACAGGGGCGUGGACAGCCCGGGCGGCGCGGGCGGCGGCGGAGGCUCGGAGGCAGCGGGCUCGGCGAGGGACGGGCGCCCCCCGGUGUCGGUGGUGGAGCGCAACGCGCGCGUCAUCCAGUGGCUGUACGGCUGCCAGCGCGCCCGCGGACCGCCGCGCGAGUCCGAGGUGUGACCACCGCGGCCCCGGAGCCGGCUUCCCUGGGAGUGCCAAGCGCGGGGCUGGCCCCGGACACGGAAAAGGACACCCAUCUUCUGGCGCGCUGGGUGCCUUUGCGUCGAUCCAAACUAGAGCUGGGAGCCGGGAAUAAUGCGCUUUGGGAGCCCGAGGGGGCGUCUGCUCCAGAAACCGGGGUCCACCAGAUCCUAAAAGGCCACGUUCCCGGAGUUUUGCUGCCCCGGUUGUGGUCACUGGAUAUGAAGGGCUGAGAUCCAACCUUUCGGACACAAAAAGAAGGGAACCGGGCCGGGCGCGGUGGCUCAGGCCUGUAAUCCCAGCACUUUGGGAGGCUGAGGAGGGUGGAUCACGGGAUCAGGAGUUCGAGACCAGCCUGGCCAACAUGGGCUCUACUAAAAAUACAAAAAUUAGCUGAGCUUGGAGGCGCGCGCCUGUAAUCCCAGCUACUCGGGAGGCUGAGGCAGGAGAAUCGCUUGAACCCCAGAGGCGGAGGUUGCAGUGAGCCGAGAUCGAGCCAUUGCACUCCAGCCUGGGCAACAGGGCCAGACUCCGUCUCAAAAAAUAAAAAUAAAAAUAAAAAAAAGAAAAGAAGGAAACCUUUCCUGCCAGCCGGCAGGCUCCUGCCACUGCCUCCCUUUCCUGCAAGGACACACAAGGUCGCCUAUUUUCAUCACAGGUUCGCACCUCCAAGCCUUCAUCCUUCAUGCGCCUCCUUCCUUUGCCUGGGUUGCCGUUCCUUUUCUCUCUGCUCUUCCUUCUCGGAGAUAACGUAUAUUCUCCUCCAGGAAGCUUUCCUGAAUGCCCCCAGUCAGCCUCACCUGCUCUAAGCUCCCAAGUACAGUCCUAUUUUGGGGCCUCAAUUUGUCACCUUUUGUGGGACCCGCUGGUAGUCUGGGUUCUCUAGUUAAUCUUUGACCUUUUUCCUAGUACAGGGACGGCGCACAUAGUAGGGCCACAGGCACAGUUUGUUGAAUUAAAUGAGGCUGGAGAGGGCGAUGGACGCAGUCCUCUGGAGCUCUCCAACUUCCUGGAAAGUUGUACCUUAAAUAAAAAA